RNAcentral lists this ribosomal RNA (253 nucleotides) under uncultured bacterium. RNAcentral describes it as "partial 16S ribosomal RNA". It matches the Rfam family "Bacterial small subunit ribosomal RNA", at positions 524 to 776 of the family's 1533-position model. The record is from RNAcentral.
UACGUAGGGUGCAAGCGUUAAUUGGAAUUACUGGGCGUAAAGCGUGCGCAGGCGGUUGUGCAAGACCGAUGUGAAAUCCCCGGGCUUAACCUGGGAAUGGCAUUGGUGACUGCACGGCUAGAGUGUGUCAGAGGGGGGUAGAAUUCCACGUGUAGCAGUGAAAUGCGUAGAGAUGUGGAGGAAUACCGAUGGCGAAGGCAGCCCCCUGGGAUAACACUGACGCUGAGGAGCGAAAGCCAGGGGAGCAAACGGG